UUAAGUUCAGCGGGUAGUCCUACCUGAUUUGAGGUCACAUUAAUGAAACAUUUGUCCAAGUCAAUGGACUGUUAGAAGCUGAACUGACUGACGGUCAAUAGCGUAGAUAUUUAUCACGCCAAUGAACGGUCAACAAAUUGUCCCGCUAAUGCAUUUCAGGGGAGCUGACUUCAUAAAGACGCCAGCAAAAAUACCCCCAC
RNAcentral lists this unclassified non-coding RNA (200 nucleotides) under Cortinarius sp. RNAcentral's name for it is "partial internal transcribed spacer 2". Lineage: Eukaryota; Fungi; Basidiomycota; Agaricomycetes; Agaricales; Cortinariaceae. The record is from RNAcentral.